GAUCUAAAAAUAAAACAUGGGAUACUUAAAGGGUUUGAGAAGCCCGCAAAAACAAAAAUAGAAAAUGAAGCCUAAAUGAAUGCAGAAAUAGAAUCGUCAUUUCCCAGUCAAAUCAAACAGUCUGGCCUCCAUUAUUUUCCAACUUUUCAUUUCAUAAACGCUAGGCUUUUCAGAUGAUAGCAAUUUCAAAGAAAUCUUAUGCUUUAGCUAUCUUUUUCCGUUUCAUUUCCUCUUCAUCAACUUCCUUCAAUCAGAAUUUUGUGGCCAUCUCCCUCUUAGAUCCGGUGUUCUUCUCUCGUCUCUCCCACCAGGUAUCUUUCUUCCCCUUUUCUUAAUGCCUCUUUCGUUAGGUAUGUGCUUCAACGUUCUCUGUUCUUUGGAUGAAUCGAAAAACAUUUUUUUUGGAAUCGGGUUUUGUUGCUCUGAAUAUCAUCAAUAAUUGCUCCUAGAAUCGAUUUAUCUCUAGCUUUUGUUUUGCAUUUGUUGAUUAUUGUUUUCGAAUCCCCCAUCAUCGUGACUGAGUUUAAGCCCAUGCUUAUGCCUAAUUUGGUUGCCUCUAAACAUGCUAAUGCUUCUGCUACAAAUGGAGAGGAAACGUUGGAGUGAAGAGUAGACUUUGAGACUGUGAUUUCCCCAUUCUGACCUCGGGCUACCAUUCCUGACGCUGAUCUAGAGUUGUUGAUAUCAAAAGCUGCAUCAAACUGUAUAGACUCCCGUAGCUCCACCUCUCUUUGUUCGGAUCUAACGGCCGUAGAGGUAAGUUUUCUUUCUCGCACUCCUUCAAGCUCUAUUAGAUAACUCUGUAUUUUAAAAGCUAGAUCCCUUCCUGAUGUAUACUUCCUCUUGUGGAUCAUUUGAUUUCUCGAGCUCCAGAUAACCCAUAAGGCACAAAAAAAUACUCAGAUCUACUCCUUUGUACCUCUGCUGAAUACCCAGGUGAGCCAUGCCCAUACACUCUGAUCUGCAUGUUCUGUUACCCAUGACAUAUUGAGACUGAUCUAUGCAUCCGUGCUUAUAGGACAUUGCCUAAACACAUGGAAGCUAUCUUCUUCUGCAGAACAGUAUCGUGGACACCUUACAUUAGUGGUCACUCUCUUAUAUCUGAUAUUAACUAGUGAAGGGAUGUAGUUCCAGGAAAUUCGCCAUAUGAGAAUUAGGAUUUUUGUUAGUAAUUGUAAAUUCCAUAAUUUUCUGUAGAAAUCUUUAGUUUCGACCUGUAUUAAAUAGUUAUAAUGAUCCAAGCUAGCUUCUUAUAAUAGUUUGUAGGCACUUCUAACUGUAAAUUCUCCGGAGAGUUCCCCUUUCCACACUUUCAUGUCUUCACAAUCCGUUUUCGCAAGAGGAAUUUGCAGUAUUUUUUGAGAAAUUUCCUUUUGAAAGGUAGUCGAAAUUAACUUUCUUCCACUUCUUGUUUAUGUUAUCAAUAAGAUCAGAAACCACAGCUAACUAACCAUUGUCUCUUUUAUUUUGCCACAUCUCAAGUUCCAUCCCUAGUAUCCAACGAUCAUCCCAUAUAGAUAUUGCGUCUCCUCUCUCGACUCUCCAGAUGAGACCAUCAAGAAGGAGUCCUUUCACUGCCCAAAUACUUCUCUAGGUAAGAGAUGGUAAGUUUCCCAACUGUGAAUUUAGGAAACUGGAUCUUGGGUAAUAUUUAGCUUUAAGUACUCUGGCUAAAAGUGAAUUUGGGUUAUUAAACAAUCGCCAACCCUGCUUGGCUAACAAUGCGAUAUUAAACUUAUUAAAAUUACGAAAACCCAACCCGUCGUUUUCCUUUAAAUAGCAAAGGUUUUUCCAAGAGCACCAAUAGAUUCCCUUUUUUCCUUGAUUCUUUUGCCACCAAUAUCUCGCAACAAUACUCUCCAUUUCUUCACAUAGUGACUUCGGAAGUAGAAAACAAACCAUUGAGUAUGUCGGUAUGGCUUGUAGCACUGCCUUUAUGAAUAUCUCUUUUCCACCUUGCGAUAAAAAACGAGUACUCCAAUUUUCUAUCUGUUGUUCCAAUCUGUCUUUUAAGGCUUGAAAAGAUUGCUUCUUUUUUCGACCUACCAUGUUUGGCAAGCCCAAGUAUCUUUCUGGCUCAUUUGAACUUCGAACUCCCAAUAAAUUGACGAUUAGAUGUCUUUCCUCUUCAAUUAUAUUUUUGCUAAAGAAGACGGUCGAUUUGGAAAAAUUCACACAUUGACCCGAACAUCUUUUAUACCCGCUAAGAAUUUCCUUGAGUACAAAGGCUCCUUUCCUCGAUGCUUCUCCAAAUAAAAUGCAAUCAUCCGUAAAUAGUAAAUGUGUUACCUGUGGACCACUUCUGGUUGCCUUGACUCCCUUUAGAAGACCUUCUCUAGCGUUUAUUCUCAUUAGACUAGAUAGUCCUUCUCCACAUAUUAAGAAGAGAAACGGGCUCAAAGGAUCGCCUUGUCGAAGCCCUCUUGUUGGACGGAAAGUUCUUCCAACACUUACAUUGAGCACUACUUGAUAAGAAACUGUAGACAUGAAAUUCAUGAUAGAGGUGACCCAUUUUUGAUCAAAUCCCAUCCGCAGCAUUGUUUCCUUAAUAAAUCUCCAUUCAACUCUGUCAUAAGCUUUGCUUAUGUCAAGCUUAACCGCCAUGUAUCCCUUUUUCCCCAUUCUUUUUUGUUUAAGUGUGUGCAAUAACUCAUAAGCGAGCAAAAUAUUAUCUGAGAUUAAUUUACCUGGUACGAAGGCACUUUGCGCACUGUCAAUGCAUUUGUCUAUGACACCUCUAAAUCUGUUUGCUAUUGCUUUAGUCAUGAUUUUAUAAAUAACAUUGCAUAAGCUAAUAGGCCUAAAAUGGGUCAUAUUAGAGGGGUUUUUGAUUUUUGGGAUAAGAACAAUAUAAGUUGAGUUAAUUUGACUGACCUCCAUUUCUCCAUUGAUGAGGUGUAGGCAAAAAGCAGCCACCUCAUCUCCUAUAAAGUGCUAACAUUUCUGGUAAAAAAGAGCAGGGAAUCCAUCUUUGCGAGGUGCCUUCGUGGGAUGCAUUUCAAAUAAGGCCUCUCUCACUUCUUCUUUUGUAUAAUUCGCUAUAAGUUUCCUGUUAUCGUCCUCUGAGAUACACCGAUCAAUUCCCGAGAGUAGACGUUCAUAAUUCAUUUGAUUUUCUAAAGAGAACAGAUUUUGAAAAUAGAAUUGUACAAUACCUUUCAUCUCCUGAAUAUCAUUCGUUUCCUGCCCGCUGCUGUUUUGUAGCUUGCUUAUCAAAUUCUUCUUUCUUCUUUGUGUUACUUGACUGUGAAAAAAGGCUGUAUUCCUGUUUCCAAGUUUUAGCCAAUUUAGUCUAGCUCGGUGUUCCCAAUAAGUUUAAUCUUUUUCAAUUUCGAAGUUAAGCUGGAUCUUUGUGUCAAUCAUCUCAGCUAGAUUAGAAUUAUCCCUUUCAGCUUCAAUCAAUGUUGAUAGUUUGGCUGUGAGAAAUUCUUUUCUCCCCUGUUUAUUUCUUUGCACCUGUUUCGCCCAGUUUACAAACCCUUUCUUAAAAGUUUCCAUUUUCUUCAGAAAUUCUCCAGACACCAUCCCCCAUAAAUGUUUAGCUUCAUCGAAAAAUGAGUCUUCCACGAUCCAUGAGGCUUCAAAUUUGAAUUGAUUUGCUUUUUCCCAUUGGUCUUCCUUAUUUGUGUUGACGAAAAUAGGACAAUAAUCAAAAAAAGAGUGUACAAGUGUUCAACUCAUACCGCAGGAAACAUGGAAAUCCAAUUCUUAUUAGCGACACCCCUAUCCAGACGCUCUUGAAUGUUCGUUUCUGGUAAGUUUCCUCUCUCCUAAGUGAACCAUCUACCAGAGUAUCCCACAUUGGAUAGUUGGCAAAAAUCUAAAGCUUCUCGGAACAACUCCAUUCUUCUUUCAUCUCUUGGCAAGCCUCUCUUUUUUUUUUCGAAUUCAUACAUUAUUUCAUUAAAAUCUCCACAGACAAGCCAAGGGGUGUAUUCCUUUUUAUGGAGAUUUUUCAAAACAGUCCAUAAAGCUUCUCUAUCUUGCGCAUAUGGAGUUCUAUAAAAGCCAGUAAAGCGCCAUUUGACAUCUCUUUCAUCAUCAUCCACCACCAUGUCAAUGUGUCUUUUAGAGAAAUUCUAAAGCGUAACAUUGAUAUUAUUUUGCCAUGCUAGACACAAACCUUCUCUAGAGCCCUUCGAAUCAACAUCAAUUCCAUUCCCAAAUCCACAUCUUCGUCUAAUUCUUUCCAUUCGGUUUCUGCAAAGCUUAGUAUCCAUAAAGAAGACAAUUUGGGGAUUAUAAGUCCUCAGCGUAUGCUGAAGCCUUCGAACUAUCCGUAGACUCCCCAAUCCACGGACAUUCUAACUCAGUAUUUUUAUUGCUUCCGGUCGGCUUGCCAUUUGGUAGCCGCCGAUGAUAAAUGAUUAGGAUCCACCAUUCUCCAAUUUGCCAAUAUGUUUCUCAUUUCUUCUCUCCCUGUUAUAUCUUCAUUUUCCCCUCUAGGCCUUUUCGUCCCCUUUUUCCCUACUAGAGCUACAUCUUCUAGAUCCCUGAUCCAUUACAUUAGGGGUUAAAUUCUCCUUUCCUCGUACCGCGUAUAAUGAACCUCCCUCCAAAUUAAAGCCAAGAACUGGAUCAACAGAUUUCCCAUAUUUUAUUUUUCACCCCGGGUGCUUCUGGCCCAUUUUGAGACCUCCAAAUUCUGCAUCAGUUCCUCUGUUAUCGCCAUCUCCUUCCUCCCUUAGCUAGAUAUUGUUUAUUGAUAAUGACUUCCGUGAUUGUGCUCGGAUAGAUAAGUCCUAGCCCAUUUCUGCAAUUUCCAUUCCAAGGUUCAUUUUUGCCUCGCAAAAAAAGUCAUUAUGCUCCAGUCUUCCACAAUAGAAACAGAACAAAGAUAAACGUUCAUAUUUAAAGGUGACAUAUGAACAUUUUCCACCAAAUGAUAUUUUCUUCCUCCUUUUCAAAGGACGCCUUAUGUCGAUUUGAACUCUAAUUCUCAUAAAGUUCUUGUUUUCUUUUCCCAAAUAUGAUACAUCAUGUUCUAUGAAAUUCCCCAAGAAAUUACCUAACUGGGCAGCCAGGAUUUCAGAAAAAAGGCCAAUAGGGACAUCAUGAACCUAAACCCAAAAAGGUAUCAGAACUAGAGGGAGUUGUAGUGGAUCCUCCCCUAAUUCCAAUUUGUAAAGCACCAGCAGAUGGUUAUUAAUGGUCCAAGGCGAACAUUUCAAAACCCUGUUCAUAUCCAUGACAUGAAAGAACUGAAACAAAUACCUUUUUUCUCCCAGAUCACAGAUUCGUACUCCCUUAACCGGAUGCUACAGAUUCGCCAUUGUACUUUUCAUUGCUGGGAAGUGGAUCGUGCUUGCUGUGAGAAAACAUCCUACUAGUUGAGUGGUCUCACCCCUAUUUUCCGUGCUUGGAUCUGUUGGGAUGUGAAUAAUUUCCUCAUCUUCAUCAUUAAUCGACAAUUGGGCUAACUCAUUCUCCAUACUUUGCAGGUAAAAGUUUUUUCAGCUUUUGUGGUUUCACAAUUCCUGUUGCAAGAGAAGGACUUACACAGGCCACAGAUAACAAAGGGGAAAGUAUUAAGGAAAAAACAAAUAAUGAAAAAACUUAAAAACUCUUGCUAGUGGCAGCAGACAAAGGUGUGCUAGGGUAGCAGACUUUUUUUACUUGUGAAUUUGAUAAUGUUUUAUAUUUCAUAUAAUGUUUUUAUAAUUUUUUUAACUUAUAUAACUAAUAUAUAAUAUGUUUUGAAAAUUUUAAAUUUAAUAAUUUUUAUAAUUUUUUAUUUAUUGAAUUUAUAUUUUUUAAAAUGGAUGCCACAUUAUUAAUCGUCAUGUAUAAAGGAAUACCACAUAAUGCAUUCUCAUUGGUUGGGUGUGUCACCUAUCAUUUUUAACACCAUUAACCUCUUUGAACUAAGAUUGUGUUUAGCAAUGCUUAAAAAAAACACUUUUGGCUUAAAAAGUACUUUUGGAAGAAAAUUUAUGUUAAACAAGUAACUUUUGGCCCAAAGGAGUGGCUUUUCAAAAACAUUUUUACUCAAAAGCUAAAUUUUUUAGCUUUUCUUGAGCCAAAAGCACUUCUUGAAACAUUAUUACUUUUUCAUCUCUCUAUUUUUCUUCCCUUAUUUUUCAUUCACUUUAAAUUACAAAUGCUAAUGUAAAUGUUUUAAUGUUUAUAUUUGGUAUAUAAAUAUUAUCCAUUUUUGAAA
This 6160-nucleotide long non-coding RNA is filed under the name Gossypium barbadense (sea-island cotton). RNAcentral describes it as "long non-coding RNA (GBAR_LNC015411)". Lineage: Eukaryota; Viridiplantae; Streptophyta; Magnoliopsida; Malvales; Malvaceae. The record is from RNAcentral.